RNAcentral lists this long non-coding RNA (1308 nucleotides) under Olea europaea subsp. europaea. Lineage: Eukaryota; Viridiplantae; Streptophyta; Magnoliopsida; Lamiales; Oleaceae. The record is from RNAcentral.
CUAUUGUGCAAUUAAUGUGUGAGGCUCUUCGAGACUCUUCCGUUCCUAUUCUUCUUCGUGUUCUUCCAAUCUCUGAUUGGAACUUGGAAGUGUAUUUUCUGGGUGAUUGUUUCUGAGUGAAUAUGUAUAUUUAGUGUAUUAGAAGAAGUUUGGGAAUGGAUUACCCUUGAGGCUUCCUUUAAUCGACAAAGGAAAGCUUUAGGGUUUUAUGGGUGGAUCUUGUGGUCACACAGAUGGGUAGAAUCUUAGUUUUACUGAGUCUGAGCCCAAAAAACGUAAUGAUCUUCACAUUGAUGCCUCGAUCUCAAUUUCUUGGAAGGAUUAAGAAAAUAUUUGCUCAGUAAUCUGAUUUUGCACAGUGUUCUUGAGUUUAUUGUAUAUUUUGGUGUCAAUAUUUUUUCAUAUAAUCUUUCUCUCUAUGUUUUAUUCUUGUUUAUAGGGCAACGUGGAAUCAUUUACUGAGUUCAUGGAGAUGGGUCAAGAAUCGUGGCCCUUUUAAGAAGUGGGUUUAGGUAUUUCUUGGAGAUCGCUCGUGCGAGGACUGUGACUUCUCCAUCCAGUCCAACUGAAUACAUUAACGGGCGAAGUCAGUGGACUUUAAAUUAUUUGAAGGGUGUGUUCCCCAUCUGAGGCAGUGUCCUAUGUAACAUAUCAUGAUCAGUCGAAAACGAAAAUAUUUUAUUGAUUGCAAAAAGCAUCGAGAAAUAGUAUUCGGACUUAUUACACUGCAAAUGCCAAACAAAGAGGAUGAGCUCUAAAAAUAGUAUUCGGACUUAUUGCUUGCAAUUGAAAGGUGCCAGGUAGGAACACUUGACCAACUAAGGUCCUUCUCAAUUAUGUCUCAAGAUGCUAGAGCCAAUCAACUUUGUUAAGGAGGAAAACUUUCCAAAUGACCCAUUCCCUGACUUCGAAAUAUCUAUGGCGAAACUUGAAGUUCUAGAAUUUUCCUUUUUUUUUUUUGUCAAAUGGCAAGAUGUAGUUAUUAUGACUUAUCCCUCUCCUCAUCAUUUCGUAUUUCAUCAAAUUGUAUCUAGCGAGGUACCUGUAUUCCAAAAUAAUUGGGGAUCAUGAUCUCGACUAAGGAAAACAAAGUUUUCCUAGUCCAUACCGCUUCCACGUUCUUUUAUAGUGGAUGUUAAGCUUCUUCCCAAAUUAUUAGGUUCCAUUGUUUGAGAAAAUGUAACGGGGAAACACCAGAAAGAUAGAUUAUAGUUUCUAUAUAAAUUUCCAAGUGUUGGCCUUCUCUACAUUGUCGAGGGGCUCGACCUCUUUCCAUUUGGUGAAGUAGUUUACAUCCACUAUUGACAU